AGCUCAGUGGUAGAGCAAUCGGCUGUUAACCGAUCGGUCGUAGGUUCGAAUCCUCUAAGGC
RNAcentral lists this transfer RNA (61 nucleotides) under Neobacillus cucumis. RNAcentral describes it as "tRNA-Asn". It matches the Rfam family "tRNA", at positions 9 to 63 of the family's 71-position model. Rfam says of the family: Transfer RNA (tRNA) molecules are approximately 80 nucleotides in length. The record is from RNAcentral. Lineage: Bacteria; Bacillati; Bacillota; Bacilli; Caryophanales; Bacillaceae. RNAcentral also lists the same sequence under 2 other names.